Molecule: unclassified non-coding RNA, 334 nt
Filed under: soil metagenome
Description: partial contains 5.8S ribosomal RNA, internal transcribed spacer 2, and large subunit ribosomal RNA
Rfam family: 5.8S ribosomal RNA (bases 1-120)
Source: RNAcentral
GAUGAAGAACGCAGCGAAAUGCGAUACGUAAUGCGAAUUGCAGAAUCCAGCGAGUCAUCGAAUCUUUGAACGCACAUUGCGCCCGCCAGCAUUCUGGCGGGCAUGCCUGUCCGAGCGUCACUCUCCACCCGUCAAGCCCGGCUUGUGUUGAGGCACUGCGGCCGCCGCAGGCCCCCAAAUGGAGUGGCGGGACCGCCCCCCGCGUCGAGCGCAGUACAGCACCUCGCUCCGGCGCGCGGGCGGCCCCCGGCCGUAAAGCCCCCCACCUUGUACAGGAUGACCUCGGAUCAGGUAGGAAUACCCGCUGAACUUAAGCAUAUCAAUAAGCGGAGGA